UAUAAGAGGUCCAGCCUGCCCAGUGACCUUGUUUAACGGCCGCAGUAUCCUAACUGUGCGAAGGUAGCGUAAUCACUUGUUCUUUAAAUGAGGACUAGUAUGAAUGGCAUCACGAAGAUUAUACUGUCUCCUUUUUCUAAUCAGUGAAACUAAUCUUCCCGUGAAGAAGCGGGAAUAAAAAUAUAAGACGAGAAGACCCUAUGGAGCUUUAAACUAAAUUACACUUGCCCAAUAACUAUAAAAUUUGAGAAAAAUACUAUUACUCUGGCAUCAUGAUAAUAAGUUUUAGGUUGGGGUGACCGCGGAGAAAAAACCAUCCUCCGCAUUGAACAAGAUUUUAUCUUUAGCUAAAAGCAACAUCUUAAAGCAUCAAUAAAUUGACAUUAUUGACCCAAUUAUUUUGAUCAACGAACCAAGUUACCCUAGGGAUAACAGCGCAAUCCAUCUCAAGAGCUCCUAUCGACAGAUGGGUUUACGACCUCGAUGUUGGAUCAGGGUAUCCCAGUGGUGCAGCCGCUACUAAAGGUUCGUUUGUUCAA
RNAcentral lists this ribosomal RNA (539 nucleotides) under Litoria inermis (bumpy rocketfrog). RNAcentral describes it as "partial 16S ribosomal RNA". It matches the Rfam family "Bacterial large subunit ribosomal RNA", at positions 1844 to 2584 of the family's 2925-position model. Lineage: Eukaryota; Metazoa; Chordata; Amphibia; Anura; Pelodryadidae. The record is from RNAcentral.